UGGGGAAUAUUGGACAAUGGGGGAAACCCUGAUCCAGCGACGCCGCGUGAGUGAAGAAGUAUUUCGGUAUGUAAAGCUCUAUCAGCAAGGAAGAAAAUGACGGUACUUGACUAAGAAGCCCCGGCUAACUACGUGCCAGCAGCCGCGGUAAUACAUAGGGGGCAAGCGUUGUCCGGAAUCACUGGGCGUAAAGGGAGCGUAGGCGGAUGUUUAAGUUAAGUGUGAAAGCCUGGGGCUUAACUCCAGAAAUGCACUUAAUACUGGAUAUCUAGAGUGUGGGAGAGGUAAGUGGAAUUCCUAGUGUAGCGGUAAAAUGCGUAGAUAUUAGGAGGAACACCAGAGGUGAAGGCGGCUUACUGGACCACAACUGACGCUGAGGCUCGAAAGCGUGGGGA
This 395-nucleotide ribosomal RNA is filed under the name uncultured Clostridium sp. Its description in RNAcentral is "bacterial SSU rRNA". It matches the Rfam family "Bacterial small subunit ribosomal RNA", at positions 355 to 767 of the family's 1533-position model. The record is from RNAcentral. Lineage: Bacteria; Bacillati; Bacillota; Clostridia; Eubacteriales; Clostridiaceae.